CACGCAGUAAACGAUGAUUACUCGCUGUUUGCGAUACACAGUAAGCGGCUUAGCGAAAGCGUUAAGUAAUCCACCUGGGGAGUACGUUCGCAAGAAUGAAACUCAAAGGAAUUGACGGGGGCCCGCACAAGCGGAGGAACAUGUGGUUUAAUUCGAUGAUACGCGAGGAACCUUACCCGGGCUUGAAAUGCAUCUGACAGGAGCAGAGACGCUCUCUCCCUUCGGGGCAGAUGUGUAGGUGC
This 242-nucleotide ribosomal RNA is filed under the name uncultured bacterium. RNAcentral describes it as "partial 16S ribosomal RNA". It matches the Rfam family "Bacterial small subunit ribosomal RNA", at positions 796 to 1041 of the family's 1533-position model. The record is from RNAcentral. RNAcentral also lists the same sequence under 1 other name.